Molecule: ribosomal RNA, 446 nt
Filed under: uncultured bacterium
Lineage: Bacteria
Description: SSU rRNA
Rfam family: Bacterial small subunit ribosomal RNA
Source: RNAcentral
AGAGCGAACGCUGGCGGCAGGCCUAACACAUGCAAGUCGAGCGCCCGUAGCAAUACGGGAGCGGCAGACGGGAUAGUAACACGUGGGAACGCGCCCUUCGGUUCGGAAUAACUCAGGGAAACUUGAGCUAAUACCGGAUACGCCCUUACGGGGAAAGAUUUAUUGCCGAAGGAACGGCCCGCGUCCGAUUAGCUAGUUGGUGAGGUAAUGGCUCACCAAGGCGACGAUCGGUAGCUGGUCUGAGAGGAUGACCAGCAUCACUGGGACUGAGACACGGCCCAGACUCCUACGGGAGGCAGCAGUGGGGAAUAUUGGACAAUGGGCGCAAGCCUGAUCCAGCCAUGCCGCGUGGAUGAUGAAGGCCUUAGGGUUGUAAAGUCCGUUUAACGGGAAGAUAUGACGGUACCCGUAGAAUAAGCCUCGGCUAACUUCGUGCCAGCAGCCGC